Molecule: ribosomal RNA, 450 nt
Filed under: uncultured bacterium
Lineage: Bacteria
Description: partial 16S ribosomal RNA
Rfam family: Bacterial small subunit ribosomal RNA
Source: RNAcentral
GUGGGGAAUCUUCCGCAAUGGACGAAAGUCUGACGGAGCAACGCCGCGUGAGUGAAGAAGGUUUUCGGAUCGUAAAGCUCUUUCGUUAGGGACGAACGUGCUCUUUGUGAAUAAUGAGGAGUAAUGACGGUACCUAAAUAAGAAGCCACGGCUAACUACGUGCCAGCAGCCGCGGUAAUACGUAGGUGGCAAGCGUUGUCCGGAAUUAUUGGGCGUACAGCGCGCGCAGGCGGGAUAUCAAGUCUGUCUUAAAAGUGCGAGGCUCAACCUCGUGAGGGGACAGAAACUGGUAUUCUUGAGUGUCGGAGAGGAAAGUGGAAUUCCAAGUGUAGCGGUGAAAUGCGUAGAGAUUUGGAAGAACACCAGUGGCGAAGGCGACUUUCUGGACGAUGUCUGACGCUGAGGCGCGAAAGCUAGGGGAGCGAACGGGAUUAGAAACCCUGGUAGUCC